This 993-nucleotide ribosomal RNA is filed under the name Triticum aestivum (bread wheat). Its description in RNAcentral is "partial small subunit ribosomal RNA". The record is from RNAcentral. Lineage: Eukaryota; Viridiplantae; Streptophyta; Magnoliopsida; Poales; Poaceae.
AUGAAAGAAAACUACAAAAAAAUGGAGUUAAGUUUGUCUCAUACGCUUCGUCUUUGUAAUAUCUUUCGUGAGUAUGAUGGAAAAGAAAAUUGUGCUCAAGUGCUAGAAGAAGAAUGCAUUAAAAUUCUUGGUACUAAAUCUUUGAAUGAUGAGCAUGAUUGCAAUAUUGUUAGUACGAACUCCUUGAAUAUCCAUGAUGCUAAUGAUAUGCAAAGCCACAAGCUUGGGGAAGCUAUGUUUGAUGAAUAUGAUAUUUUUAGUCCCCCAAGUUUUGAUGAGAAUAUUUAUUUUGAUGAAAGCAUGCCUCCUAUUUAUGAUGAUUAUAUUGAUGAGAGUGGGUUUGAAAGAGUGCCAACUUUAGGAAGUAGUGGUCCCACUAUUUUGGAGGAUGUUGAAUCUUAUUGUGAUGAAUAUGAAAGUGGAUUUGGAAGAGUGUCAACUUUAUUUAGUGAUGAAUCCACUAUUUCGAAAGAGGUUCCAAUUGAUUAUGAGAACAAAGUUGCUAUCUAUGAUGAUUAUUGUGAUGACUUUUAUGCUAUUAAGAAUAAUGAUAACCAUGAAACUUGUCAUCAUGAUUUUAGUUUUCAAUUGGAUUGUGCCUCACAUGAUAAUUAUUUUGUUGAGUUUGCUCCCACUACUAUUGAUGAGAAGAAUUUUGCUUAUGUGGAGAGUAGUAAAUUUUCUAUGCUUGUAGAUCAUGAAAAUAAUGCUUUAGGUGUUGGUUACAUUGUUGAAUUCAUUCAUGAUGCUACUGGAAAUUAUUAUGAGGGAGGAAUAUAUGCUUGUAGGAAUUGCAAUAAUGUCAAGUUUCCUCUCUAUGUGCUUCAAAUCUUGAAGCUAUGCUUGUUUUACCUUCCUAUGCUAGUUGAUGGUUGUUCCCAUAAGUUGUUUGCUCACAAAAUACCUUUGCAUAGGAAGUGGGUUAGGCUUAAAUGUGCUAGUCAUAUGCUUCAUGAUGCUCCCGUUAUGUUUCAAUUCUUAUCUUUUAUGUGA